Molecule: ribosomal RNA, 465 nt
Filed under: Vreelandella stevensii
Lineage: Bacteria; Pseudomonadati; Pseudomonadota; Gammaproteobacteria; Oceanospirillales; Halomonadaceae
Description: partial 16S ribosomal RNA
Rfam family: Bacterial small subunit ribosomal RNA
Source: RNAcentral
CCUACGGGGGGCAGCAGUGGGGAAUAUUGGACAAUGGGGGCAACCCUGAUCCAGCCAUGCCGCGUGUGUGAAGAAGGCCCUCGGGUUGUAAAGCACUUUCAGUGAGGAAGAACGCCUGGUGGUUAAUACCCAUCAGGAAAGACAUCACUCACAGAAGAAGCACCGGCUAACUCCGUGCCAGCAGCCGCGGUAAUACGGAGGGUGCGAGCGUUAAUCGGAAUUACUGGGCGUAAAGCGCGCGUAGGUGGCUUGAUAAGCCGGUUGUGAAAGCCACGGGCUCAACCUGGGAACGGCAUCCGGAACUGUCAAGCUAGAGUGCAGGAGAGGAAGGUAGAAUUCCCGGUGUAGCGGUGAAAUGCGUAGAGAUCGGGAGGAAUACCAGUGGCGAAGGCGGCCUUCUGGACUGACACUGACACUGAGGUGCGAAAGCGUGGGUAGCAAACAGGAUUAGAUACCCUUGUAGUC